This 585-nucleotide long non-coding RNA is filed under the name Rattus norvegicus (Norway rat). RNAcentral's name for it is "long non-coding RNA NONRATT026941". Lineage: Eukaryota; Metazoa; Chordata; Mammalia; Rodentia; Muridae. The record is from RNAcentral.
CAGUGAGUUGAAUCUUCACCUGGGAGAGAAGAGAGGCCACCAAUGACUUGGAUUCUGUAUCUGGCCCAGGCUCAGGGUUAGUCAGAAGUCUGUUGAAUGGAAAUCUGUCUCCUCUGUAUCUGGGUGCCCCAUAAUUUGAGAAGCCCUGCCCUGAAUUCUGAAAUCUUCAGAUCGAGCAACCACAUUGCUGUCUGAUUUAGGUAGAGAAGAAUUCUUCUUGCUAGAGCCUCCUUUUGUCUGGCCCGGGGGAUCCUGGCUCCACUGUAGCUGUUGGCAGUGGCUUGCUGCUUGUCUGUCAUUCGAGGAACAAUCGGUGCCUGAGAACGGAAGCUCUGGAAAGGAAGCAAUGGAAGAGCGAGGAGACAACUUACAUGCAGAACGGGAGAAAGUCUUUGCCAGCUCUAUAUCCAACAGGGCAUUAAUAUCUAAGGUCUGUCUAGGACUUUUCCAUCUCCAAAAAUUAAAAACUAAGAACACACCAAUCAUUCAGGCAAUAAGUGGGCUGUUGAACUGAAUGGGCAGUUCUCGAAAGAAGAAAUACGAAUAGCUAAUAAAUACUCGAGAAAACAAAAAUCAGACACACAA